RNAcentral lists this ribosomal RNA (2880 nucleotides) under Klebsiella pneumoniae. RNAcentral's name for it is "bacterial LSU rRNA". It matches the Rfam family "Bacterial large subunit ribosomal RNA". Lineage: Bacteria; Pseudomonadati; Pseudomonadota; Gammaproteobacteria; Enterobacterales; Enterobacteriaceae. The record is from RNAcentral.
GGGUUGUGAGGUUAAGCGACUAAGCGUACACGGUGGAUGCCCUGGCAGUCAGAGGCGAUGAAGGACGUGCUAAUCUGCGAAAAGCGUCGGUAAGGUGAUAUGAACCGUUAUAGCCGGCGAUGUCCGAAUGGGGAAACCCAGUGCAAUUCGUUGCACUAUCGUUAACUGAAUACAUAGGUUAACGAGGCGAACCGGGGGAACUGAAACAUCUAAGUACCCCGAGGAAAAGAAAUCAACCGAGAUUCCCCCAGUAGCGGCGAGCGAACGGGGAGCAGCCCAGAGUCUGAAUCAGCUUGUGUGUUAGUGGAACGGUCUGGAAAGUCCGACGGUACAGGGUGAUAGUCCCGUACACCAAAAUGCACAGGUUGUGAACUCGAAGAGUAGGGCGGGACACGUGGUAUCCUGUCUGAAUAUGGGGGGACCAUCCUCCAAGGCUAAAUACUCCUGACUGACCGAUAGUGAACCAGUACCGUGAGGGAAAGGCGAAAAGAACCCCGGCGAGGGGAGUGAAAAAGAACCUGAAACCGUGUACGUACAAGCAGUGGGAGCACCUUCGGGUGUGACUGCGUACCUUUUGUAUAAUGGGUCAGCGACUUAUAUUCUGUAGCAAGGUUAACCGUAUAGGGGAGCCGCAGGGAAACCGAGUCUUAACUGGGCGUUAAGUUGCAGGGUAUAGACCCGAAACCCGGUGAUCUAGCCAUGGGCAGGUUGAAGGUUGGGUAACACUAACUGGAGGACCGAACCGACUAAUGUUGAAAAAUUAGCGGAUGACUUGUGGCUGGGGGUGAAAGGCCAAUCAAACCGGGAGAUAGCUGGUUCUCCCCGAAAGCUAUUUAGGUAGCGCCUCGUGAACUCAUCUUCGGGGGUAGAGCACUGUUUCGGCUAGGGGGUCAUCCCGACUUACCAACCCGAUGCAAACUACGAAUACCGAAGAAUGUUAUCACGGGAGACACACGGCGGGUGCUAACGUCCGUCGUGAAGAGGGAAACAACCCAGACCGCCAGCUAAGGUCCCAAAGUCAUGGUUAAGUGGGAAACGAUGUGGGAAGGCACAGACAGCCAGGAUGUUGGCUUAGAAGCAGCCAUCAUUUAAAGAAAGCGUAAUAGCUCACUGGUCGAGUCGGCCUGCGCGGAAGAUGUAACGGGGCUAAACCAUGCACCGAAGCUGCGGCAGCGACACUAUGUGUUGUUGGGUAGGGGAGCGUUCUGUAAGCCUGCGAAGGUGACCUGUGAGGGUUGCUGGAGGUAUCAGAAGUGCGAAUGCUGACAUAAGUAACGAUAAAGCGGGUGAAAAGCCCGCUCGCCGGAAGACCAAGGGUUCCUGUCCAACGUUAAUCGGGGCAGGGUGAGUCGACCCCUAAGGCGAGGCCGAAAGGCGUAGUCGAUGGGAAACAGGUUAAUAUUCCUGUACUUGGUGUUACUGCGAAGGGGGGACGGAGAAGGCUAUGUUAGCCGGGCGACGGUUGUCCCGGUUUAAGCAUGUAGGCUGGUUGUCCAGGCAAAUCCGGAUAAUCAAGGCUGAGGUGUGAUGACGAGGCACUACGGUGCUGAAGUAACAAAUGCCCUGCUUCCAGGAAAAGCCUCUAAGCAUCAGGUAACAUUAAAUCGUACCCCAAACCGACACAGGUGGUCAGGUAGAGAAUACCAAGGCGCUUGAGAGAACUCGGGUGAAGGAACUAGGCAAAAUGGUGCCGUAACUUCGGGAGAAGGCACGCUGGUGUGUAGGUGAAGCCCCUGCGGGUGGAGCUGAGACCAGUCGAAGAUACCAGCUGGCUGCAACUGUUUAUUAAAAACACAGCACUGUGCAAACACGAAAGUGGACGUAUACGGUGUGACGCCUGCCCGGUGCCGGAAGGUUAAUUGAUGGGGUUAUCCGUAAGGAGAAGCUCUUGAUCGAAGCCCCGGUAAACGGCGGCCGUAACUAUAACGGUCCUAAGGUAGCGAAAUUCCUUGUCGGGUAAGUUCCGACCUGCACGAAUGGCGUAAUGAUGGCCAGGCUGUCUCCACCCGAGACUCAGUGAAAUUGAACUCGCUGUGAAGAUGCAGUGUACCCGCGGCAAGACGGAAAGACCCCGUGAACCUUUACUAUAGCUUGACACUGAACAUUGAGCCUUGAUGUGUAGGAUAGGUGGGAGGCUUUGAAGCGUGGACGCCAGUCUGCGUGGAGCCAACCUUGAAAUACCACCCUUUAAUGUUUGAUGUUCUAACGUUGGCCCCUGACCGGGGUUGCGGACAGUGUCUGGUGGGUAGUUUGACUGGGGCGGUCUCCUCCCAAAGCGUAACGGAGGAGCACGAAGGUUAGCUAAUCCUGGUCGGACAUCAGGAGGUUAGUGCAAUGGCAUAAGCUAGCUUGACUGCGAGCGUGACGGCGCGAGCAGGUGCGAAAGCAGGUCAUAGUGAUCCGGUGGUUCUGAAUGGAAGGGCCAUCGCUCAACGGAUAAAAGGUACUCCGGGGAUAACAGGCUGAUACCGCCCAAGAGUUCAUAUCGACGGCGGUGUUUGGCACCUCGAUGUCGGCUCAUCACAUCCUGGGGCUGAAGUAGGUCCCAAGGGUAUGGCUGUUCGCCAUUUAAAGUGGUACGCGAGCUGGGUUUAGAACGUCGUGAGACAGUUCGGUCCCUAUCUGCCGUGGGCGCUGGAGAAUUGAGGGGGGCUGCUCCUAGUACGAGAGGACCGGAGUGGACGCAUCACUGGUGUUCGGGUUGUCAUGCCAAUGGCACUGCCCGGUAGCUAAAUGCGGAAGAGAUAAGUGCUGAAAGCAUCUAAGCACGAAACUUGCCCCGAGAUGAGUUCUCCCUGAGACUUUAAGUCUCCUGAACGAACGUUAAAGACGAUGCCGUUGAUAGGCCGGGUGUGUAAGCGCAGCGAUGCGUUGAGCUAA